CACGUGGACAACCUGCCCUAAGGUGGAGCAUAACCCCGGGAAACUGGGGAUAAUACUCCAUAGGUUAUGGAUGCUGGAAUGCUUCAUAACUCAAAGCUCCGGCGCCUUAGGAUGGAUCUGCGGUCGAUUAGGUUGUUGUUGGGGUAACGGCCCAACAAGCCUGUAAUCGAUACGGGUUGUGGGAGCAAGAGCCCGGAGAUGGAAUCUGAGACACGAUUCCAGGCCCUACGGGGCGCAGCAGGCGCGAAAACUUUACAAUGCAGGAAACUGUGAUAAGGGAACCCCGAGUGCCCGUAUACGCGGGCUGUCCAGGUGUGUAAAAAGCACCUGAAGAAAGGGCCGGGCAAGACCGGUGCCAGCCGCCGCGGUAAUACCGGCGGCUCGAGUGGUGGCCACUUUUAUUGGGCUUAAAGCGUCCGUAGCUGGACUCCUAAGUCCCUUGGGAAAUCUCUUGGCUUAACCAAGAGGCGUCUAAGAGAUACUGGGAGUCUAGGGACCGGGAGAGGUGAGAGGUACUCCGGGGGUAGGAGUGAAAUCCUGUAAUCCCCGGGGGACCACCUGUGGCGAAGGC
This 571-nucleotide ribosomal RNA is filed under the name uncultured archaeon. RNAcentral describes it as "bacterial SSU rRNA". It matches the Rfam family "Archaeal small subunit ribosomal RNA", at positions 97 to 673 of the family's 1478-position model. The record is from RNAcentral.